This 464-nucleotide ribosomal RNA is filed under the name uncultured bacterium. RNAcentral's name for it is "partial 16S ribosomal RNA". It matches the Rfam family "Bacterial small subunit ribosomal RNA", at positions 28 to 507 of the family's 1533-position model. The record is from RNAcentral.
GACGAACGCUGGCGGCGUGCUUAACACAUGCAAGUCGAACGGAAAGGCCCCUUUGGGGGUACUCGAGUGGCGAACGGGUGAGUACACGUGAGUAACCUGCCCUUGACUUCGGGAUAACUUCAGGAAACUGGGGCUAAUACCGGAUAGGAAUCCUUGCUGCAUGGUGGGGGUUGGAAAGCUUCGGCGGUUUUGGAUGGACUCGCGGCUUAUCAGCUUGUUGGUGGGGUAGUGGCUUACCAAGGCUUUGACGGGUAGCCGGCCUGAGAGGGCGACCGGCCACAUUGGGACUGAGAUACGGCCCAGACUCCUACGGGAGGCAGCAGUGGGGAAUAUUGCACAAUGGGCGGAAGCCUGAUGCAGCAACGCCGCGUGCGGGAUGACGGCCUUCGGGUUGUAAACCGCUUUCAGCAGGGGCGAAGCUUGUGGUGACGGUACCUGCAGAAGAAGCACCGGCUAACUACGUG